GCAUGUGAAAGCAGUCUGGCUGGGACAUCUGUCACCACAUUGAUCAAUAGGGGUGAUUGGGCUAUUGACUGGAUGACUGGCUGGAUUAGUACACUCUUUCUCCCUUACCACAGCCUGUGCAUCUCUUUUGAAGCUGCAUACACACUGAAAGAUAGUGAACUUCCCAGAUAGAAGAGGAUCUUUUUCAGUCAUAACAAAAACCAAAGCAGUUGCCAUCGAAUUGAUUGCAAC
This is an unclassified non-coding RNA of Loxodonta africana (African savanna elephant), 231 nucleotides long. Its record names the gene 7SK. It matches the Rfam family "7SK RNA". Rfam says of the family: 7SK was discovered as an abundant small nuclear RNA in the mid-70s but a possible function has only recently been suggested. Two independent studies have found that 7SK RNA binds the CDK9/cyclin T complex (known as elongation factor P-TEFb). P-TEFb activates transcription by phosphorylating the C-terminal domain of RNA polymerase II. The record is from Ensembl. Lineage: Eukaryota; Metazoa; Chordata; Mammalia; Proboscidea; Elephantidae.